Non-coding RNA from Prunus mume (Japanese apricot), 389 nucleotides. NCBI's taxonomy places the organism in Eukaryota, Viridiplantae, Streptophyta, Magnoliopsida, Rosales, Rosaceae. The record is from RefSeq and is a predicted model, not a curated record.
AACUCAUAGCAGAGGAUGGCUAGAGACAAGAAUGUUGGUCCAAUGGUUCUUCUCCUUGUUUUUGGUUCAAUCCUACUGGGAAUCAAUCCAAGCACAGCCAAAAUUUGCCCUCAGUAUUGUACGGACCAGGCAGGUUAUAUGACCUGUCCAUCUUCAGGCAAUACGCAGCUUUCACCAUCUUGCAAUUGUUGCUUAGCUCCGGCAGGCUGCACCAUUUACAGAACUGACGGAACUUCAAUCUGUACUGGUACUUAAAAUGAGUGAGCAUGGGGCAUGCCUUGUAUGAUAUAAAUAAUUAUGGUUUGCCAUGAAUGGUUUUGAAGUGGCAAUAUCCAUGCUGCCACUGAUGAAGAAUAAUAUAUGGUCAUAAUAAAUGGGCUUUCCUUGAC